Molecule: transfer RNA, 3159 nt
Filed under: Pongo abelii (Sumatran orangutan)
Lineage: Eukaryota; Metazoa; Chordata; Mammalia; Primates; Hominidae
Description: retained intron
Rfam family: tRNA (bases 2927-3000)
Source: RNAcentral
UGAUCUACAGGAUAGGUACGAGCUUGCCAGUAUUCUCUCUUAGUAUAAUAGCAGAAGAUGGGCUUAAUUUUCCCAGUAACCAAUUGUGAGAACACAUGUGAAAUGCUUCCUAGAGUGUUUCUGGGGGCUCAUCAGGUGGGCACUAUGUGUUGUGCGUGUAACAAAUUCCCAAACUCUCAGAAGGUGGGAGACCAGAAAUUUUCAUAUUUUUUCCAUAAAGAGUUUAGGCACCAAGCUACUCUUACAUAGGUCAUUGGGCUCCUUCCCCAAAUCCAUUUCCCAGAUACCAGGAAUGGAUGUGAUGCAGGACAGGUGCGCCCUAAAAUUGGGGCUUAUCCCAGGAUGGUUUCUGGCUUUGCCCAGGGAAGAAUUCAAGGGCAGGCCAGUGGUGUUAGAUGGCAGUGUUUUAUUUAACAGUACUGGUCUUUGUGGAUCAGUGCUAACUCAUAGGCAGUACACCCAGAGUCAGCAACAUAUGGGCUCUUGGCAACUAUAUUGAUACCCACUUUCAAUUAUAUGCAAAUUAAGUGGUGGGUUAUUUAAAACUUUCUAAGGAAGGAGUGAUAACUUUCAGGUCAUUGCCAUGGCAUUUGUAAGCUGUCAUAGCAUUGGUGGGAGUGUUUUAUGCUAAUGAGCAGUGAGAGCAUGUAGAAAUUGCCGUUCUUGUCAUCUGCUGGUUUUGGCCCCUUUCUUUACUUUAUCCUGCCUGUGCCAGAUCUUGUUUUGGCCAGUAGGGUUGUGAUCAGAAUACAAGUCCUGUUGGUCUCCUACCUCAGAUGAAUGUUGUGAGGAGUGAGGAGCCUUUUUUUAAGGGUAAGCAGUCUCAGGACUGCUAAUAUAAACUCUUUUGCGCAGUAGGUGGUGGGACUUCGUUAUGACAGGUUCUACAGGUCCACUGUACGAGCAGACAUUAGCUGUGACUCAGGCAGCAUGUAUUACUCCUUGGAACCACCACCAAGAAAGAUGAUCAGACACUGCUAUUUCUCUACCCGAUAGUUCAAUUCUAGUAUGAGAGUUGCUGUGUGAAGGAAGUGAGUAUGAUGACCAAACAGUGGAGUAAAUGUUUGGAGACCCCUGAAACAUGUGAACUUCUUAGGAAUUGAGUACCGUUCCCCAGCCCUGUCUGUCUCACCCAUUCUCCUCUCCACAUAUGUGGGAUGUUUCAGGACUCGGUGGCUUUUGAGGAUGUAGAUGUGAACUUCACCCAGGAGGAGUGGGCUUUGCUGGAUCCUUCCCAGAAGAAUCUCUACAGAGAUGUGAUGUGGGAAACCAUGAGGAAUCUGGCCUCCGUAGGGAAAAAAUGGAAGGACCAGAACAUUAAAGAUCACUACAAACACCGAGGGAGAAAUCUAAGAAGUCAUAUGUUAGAAAGACUCUAUCAAACUAAGGAUAGUAGUCAGCGUGGAGGAAUUUUUAGCCAGUUUGCAAACCAGAAUCUGAGCAAGAAAAUUCCUGGAGUGAAGCUCUGUGAAAGCAUUGUAUAUGGAGAAGUCAGCAUGGGUCAGUCAUCCCUUAAUAGACACAUCAAAGAUCACAGUGGACAUGAACCAAAGAAAUAUCAGGAAUAUGGAGAGAAGCCAGAUACACGUAACCAGUGUUGGAAACCCUUCAGUUCUCACCACUCCUUUCGAACACAUGAGAUAAUUCACACUGGAGAGAAACUCUAUGAUUGUAAGGAAUGUGGAAAAACCUUCUUUUCUCUCAAAAGAAUUAGAAGACACAUUAUCACACACAGUGGAUAUACACCAUAUAAAUGUAAGGUGUGUGGGAAAGCUUUUGAUUAUCCCAGUAGAUUUCGAACACAUGAAAGAAGUCACACUGGAGAGAAACCCUAUGAAUGUAAGGAAUGUGGAAAAGCCUUCACUUGUAUCACAAGUGUUCGAAGACACAUGAUAAAGCACACUGGAGAUGGACCUUAUAAAUGUAAGGUAUGUGGGAAACCCUUUCAUUCUCUGAGUCCAUUUCGAAUACAUGAAAGAACUCACACUGGAGAGAAACCUUACGUAUGUAAACAUUGUGGUAAAGCUUUCGUUUCUUCAACAUCAAUUCGAAUACAUGAAAGAACUCAUACUGGAGAGAAACCCUAUGAGUGUAAGCAAUGUGGGAAAGCCUUCAGUUAUCUCAACUCCUUUCGAACACAUGAAAUGAUUCACACUGGUGAGAAACCCUUUGAAUGUAAGCGAUGUGGUAAAGCCUUUAGAUCUUCUAGUUCCUUUCGACUACAUGAAAGGACUCACACUGGACAGAAACCCUAUCAUUGUAAGGAAUGUGGGAAAGCCUAUUCUUGCCGUGCCAGCUUUCAGAGACACAUGUUAACACACGCUGAAGAUGGACCACCUUAUAAAUGCAUGUGGGAAAGCCUUUAAUGUUCUGGGUUCAUGUCAGAUACAUUAAAAUACUCACUGAAGAGAAGCCCUAUGAAUGUAAGUAAUGUGGGAAAGCAUGAAAUUCUGUUGGUGCCUUUUUUAAUACAUGAAAGAAAUAAUUCUAGAGAGAAGCCAUAUUACAUGUAAGUAACAUGGGAAAGCUUUCAAUCAUUUUAGUUCCUUUCAAAUACAUGAAAGAACUCAUCAUGGAGAAAACCAAACAAAUGCUUUUUGGAAAGGAACCCAUAUUUGAGAGAAACCCUGGGUAAAGAGUGUAGGAAAGGUUUUGUCAUCACACAACCCUGUCACACAUGAAUGCAUAGUGGAGAGAACCUUGGUAAAUGUAAAGAGUGUGGGAGAGCCUUUAGUCAUUUUAGUUCCACUUGAAGCCAUGAAAGAACACACAAAAGAGAGAAAGCUCUUGAAUAUAAGCAAUGUCCAAACGUUUUUAGCCAGCCCACAUGCUUUCAACAACAUGUAAGAACGUACCCUGGAUCAAAACACUAUAAAUAUGAAAACCACAAGGAAGGUUUUCCAUUAUACUUUUAAAGUCAUUUGAGGGCUCUGUGGCUUUGUGGGUUAAAGUACUUGUCUGGCAAACAGAAGAUGCUGGAUUUCAAUCCCAGCAGGGCCUCACUAGUUGAGGUAUUGAAUUUGAACAGAUGUUUUGGCUCUGGCUGGGUGUGGUGGCUCACACCUGUAAUCCCAGCACUUUGGGAGGCUGAGGCAGGAGGAUCACUUGAGGUCAGGAGUUUGAGACCAGUGUGCAAAACAUAGCAAGACCUCAUCUCAG